Non-coding RNA from Vicia faba (fava bean), 231 nucleotides. Lineage: Eukaryota; Viridiplantae; Streptophyta; Magnoliopsida; Fabales; Fabaceae. The record is from the annotation of a GenBank genome assembly.
AUGAAUUUAGCGGAGAAGAAGGAGGAGCUGCUGGCCAGAGUAGCGAUCCGAGAGGAAGACGCUGCUAGAAAAUUCAAGCGAUCAGAGGAAGAGAACUCGCGGAGGACUCACACGGUGGAGGCGGUCAUGUCUACUGGAAAGUGUGACGGACGGAGGGUGCUUCAGAAGUCAUGGCGGUUGGAGUUGGAGGGGACGGCGGAGUGUUCGCCGGAGUCAGAGGCGAGUGACUAG